GUCAUAUAAAAGUUGAAGUCAAUGCGUUUUCUAAGUUGCCCUGCGCGCCUCUCUCAGCCUCUCUCUCUCUGUGUCUCUCUCUCUCUCUCUUCUUGUCGCCCAAGCCUUGCCCCUCUGUUUCUCUGUUGCUAACUCUUUCUGCUGUGCCCCCUGAAACCAUAUUUCCGAAAGUCAUAGCCGGGACCCCAUACCAAAACACCAACCUUGUUAGUGUUGUAUUUACAGAUGCCUUCUUCAAAGGGAAAGAAGCAUUCAAAGAACCAAUCAAGGUUGUCGAAUUCUGACAACUUUUCUUAACCUGGGUCACUUGAUUUUGAAGCUACUGAUGAGAGUUUCGCAAGCUCUCUUGAACAAGCUUCGGUUAAAUACCCAUCUCUGAUUCAGAACGACCCCAAAAGCUGUAAAAUUUGACUUUCAGAACCUUCCAUUCCAAUGUCGCCUCUUCCUUCUCUCCUGGAUCCAUUGUUGCGG
RNAcentral lists this long non-coding RNA (471 nucleotides) under Prunus dulcis (almond). RNAcentral's name for it is "sRNA ncRNA". The record is from RNAcentral. Lineage: Eukaryota; Viridiplantae; Streptophyta; Magnoliopsida; Rosales; Rosaceae.